AUUAUUCUGGAAAGUCAAGGUGGGCGGUGAAGGCAUGGGCAACCAUGCUUAUCACUCGCCCCUUUACUCUUCAUGAACAUCCCGUCUGUGCAUCGAACCUUUGUUGCUUCCCGCAUGGCCUGGCCUGGAAGGGCUACCGUGCGGGGAGGAUACGAUAAACUCUGGUUGUUGUAUCGUUAGUCUGAGUGGUAAACACAUUAAACAAGUUA
Molecule: unclassified non-coding RNA, 209 nt
Filed under: uncultured fungus
Lineage: Eukaryota; Fungi
Description: sequence contains ITS1, 5.8S rRNA gene
Source: RNAcentral